CAGCUGGCAGCCGUCGCAGCCAGAACCUGGCAGAGCAGGCUUCGACCCUCCCGCUGACUCGGGCCUUCAUCACCUGUCUGGGACCAGAGCGAGCCAGGCGUCGAACCACCCCUCCCUCCCGGGGUGUGUAGCACAGUGUUGUGGUCCAGUGGUGAAAACAGUUGUGAGAGUGAGUCUGUCCUGCCAAUAAACAGCCCAAGCUUCCCUCUGAGAGGUGGAGAUCCCAAGAAGACUAACCUGCUACCAUUCCAAGUAUUUCUCAGGACAUUGUUAUGAGCCACUUCACACAUGUUCCUGAUCUACAGUAAUGGCAACAAGCCAUGGAUCCACUAUGCAGUUCCACUAUGAUGCAGAAAACUUCUACAGAUGACAGGUCCACUACAAAACCAUACAAAGGCUUAUUGUUUAUGAUUACUGCAGAGUCUUUGCGCUAAAACGAUGGAGUGUGCUGGUGAUGGAAAACCUACUCUAAUCCCACUGGGGCUGGACUACAAAUUCAAUAAUCCUUUCCAGAUGUGUCAUACAACAAAACCUGUCUUCCCACACAGAAUACAGCCAAUAGUCAUGGUCAUAGUACUGGAUGACCAAGGCCAUCUCCAUCCCAUCUCCAGGCCUAAAACCUGAUUGGAAUGGAUCCAGAUAACCCAUAUCCUCCAAGAGUGCCUGAAGCUGCUGAGCCACCACCCGCUCCAACAUCUUGCCCAAAAAUGGAAGACUGGCGAUGGGAUAGUAGUUAUCCAGUAUCCCAGCAGUUCCUAUAUCUUGCAGAACUCAUCAACUAUAUGCUUCUUGCUCAGUUCAUAUACGAUGCAGAACAUCCUAUACAGAUGCCUGGAAUUAUAUUAAAGAUAUCUACUCUUCAAACAUGACUCAAGAUUCCAAGAGAAGAACACCAGAAAAGUAAUUAUGUAACUAAAUUAUGUUAAUUAACUAAAUUGUGUUAAUUUUGCUAUUUUAAUUUUUAAUUUACAUAAUUAUUUCCAAAUUAUUUACUAGAAUUGAGUAGAAUCUCUCUCUCUCUUUCCCUCUCUCUCUAUACAGUGAGAGGUUUGCUAAGAAAGUAGCAUCCCUUUUUGCUUAAGUUAUUCUUCUUUAAAUUGACUGCUGUACUCCUACGAGUGGCAUGAGAGCUGUUAUUUUCCUCCAUGAUACCUUCCUUGGAACACCAGUGUAUCAUAACGUGGUGCUAUUUUUUUCAUAAUUCCAUGGGAACUGUGGCAACCACUACUGGUCAAGCACUUCACUUUUGUGACUUGAAAAUGAGAGAGCAACACUGAGAAACCCUUGUGU
Long non-coding RNA from Varanus komodoensis (Komodo dragon), 1290 nucleotides. RefSeq lists it as uncharacterized. The record is from RefSeq and is a predicted model, not a curated record. The transcript has 6 exons. NCBI's taxonomy places the organism in Eukaryota, Metazoa, Chordata, Lepidosauria, Squamata, Varanidae.